Molecule: long non-coding RNA, 4942 nt
Organism: Anas platyrhynchos (mallard)
Lineage: Eukaryota; Metazoa; Chordata; Aves; Anseriformes; Anatidae
Source: RefSeq, a predicted model, not a curated record
UUUUUCAUGGCUCACACUGGUCACACUUGCUUGUGCAAUAUGGUAUUUGAAGUCACUUCAAAACAGCCCCUGAAAUGUGCUGCUGUAUAUUUAAGAAGCCUGACACAAAGGCUUCAGGAACAGACUGGAAGAAACCAAUGGCACCCUCUGAUGUGGAUAUUUCUUGCAGAUAUAUUCCUUGAUCUUCCUAUUUGGACAUGUGGUAAUGAAGUAAAAAAGUCAGCAGAGUCUACCUCCACUAUCUCAUUCUUAAGACUUUUGAGAGUAAAAUAAGGGAGCAUUUCAAGAGAUUCCUGCUGCAUCCACCAGCUAAUCCCUGGCCUUGAGUGUGCUGUGAAGCGCAUUACAGUGUGUCCAAAUAAUGAGAAUUACUGCUGGCAAUGAAAGGAGGAGCUUAGCAUCAAGGACAACAUCCAGCCUUAUCAUGUUCCCAUGCAGUCUGUUGAAGAUAACAAAAAGAGAUUGCUCCAACCAACAAUUUUUGUGCAUCUCUAGUGUUUAAUAGUCUCAAAAAUGAUCCCAAAGGCUCUUGGAUGGCAAAGACCUUUGCAUACAGUAAAUAUUUUAAUAGCUCAUUCUCCAGAUUUGUUCCUGGCAGAAAAUACUUACAUUUUUUUCCUAAGUUUGUUUUGAACCUGACUGUAUUUAUUUUGGGAUGAGGAGGCCUGCUAGAUGCUUUUUUCCAUUCCUGAGACUGGACUCUGAUGAAGCUGAUGAAACACUAGAAGUGGUAGCACUUUGUUCAUCUUCUGGUUUGUCUCCUGCACUAGGCUGAGCUGAAAGUUGAGUACAGGCUUUACCUUAAGCCUUCCAGGUGGCAACCAACACGUGGAGUCCCUGGUCUCUCAAAUUAAGCCCGCAGCCUUUCCCAGGGACAUGGUGGCAUCCCCAGCACUGCACAGCUCAGCGCUCAACAGCAGCAGGAAGAAAGGCAAGAUCUCUGCAGUGCUGCAGCACACAGCAUUUCUUCCAUGAGGCGCAUGAGGUUUUGUGGUUCAGAAACAUUUUCAGGACCUGGUUUUCUAUUCCCUGGAGUUUCUACUCGCAAAUCAGACAGUCAUAUGCCGAACUGCUUGGAGAAAAGAAGCUGAAGCCUUAAUUUUAGAGUGAAAAAUGUAUUUCCGGAUAGAGUCCGUAGAUUCACGUCUAAUUCCAUGUUGUGUAUUAACACACACAAACUGGUGGCACAGCUUGCUUUGUGGAGACAAUGCAAGGCAGAAGUGAGCUGCCGUUGAAGCCAAAGUACUGCUUCUGCGGGCCACGAGGGAAUCGGGAUCAUCUUCAGGAAUGGAGGCGAAUGAAGUCCUUGGCCAGGUUUCUAGUGCAGCUAUUUCAUUCCCACGAUGUUUCUCUUGGGGCUGCCUCUCCUAAGGGAAAACUCCUACUGCUGCCUGCCUCCUGUUUCACAAAAUGAGGGGGUAUUUUUCAGCCAGCUCAAGCCUCUGAGCAGGUUUACCGUAAGGCUGUGCUAGCAGAGCAGAAGCAAUGGCCCAGGGGCUGGCUGAAGCAAGGGAAGGGCAGGAGCUGGGCAGUGCAUGCUCAGAGGAAAGCCCAGGGUGCCACAGCUGCACAGCACAAGCUGGUUUCUGCAGGAAACUAAUGCUUCCCCCCUGCACCUGUGAAGAAGUUCAGCAGAAGUUCAGCAGAAGUUCCAAGCUGACCAUCAGACAAAAUCUUUACUUUCUCAAAUUUAGUCAGGACAUGCCCUGGUACAUGCUGUCCUUAAGGAUGUCUGAAUACAGAGGCCAUCCCCUCUACUGGAAUCAGCCCUGGCCACUUCUCCAGUGAAAAUCAUAAACCUGCAGAAGAGGGUAACCACAAGGCGCCUUCACACACCAGUGCAGAUGACAGAAGUAAUAUGCAACUUCUUAAAAACAGAGUAAAGGGGUAGACGACAUUCACCUUGGCAUCACAGCACUAUGAAGAUGGACAGCUACUGCUCUCCUCUCUGACUGCACCUUCUUGCAACCGGUUCUUUGUCAAACAGACAUUGACUUAUCCCUGAGUGAAUACUGUACAGUUUAUCAGAGAGUAGAUGAAAAGGCAAGAAGGUUCAGGAACGAGGACAACAAACCAGAUGUCAUCACUAUUACUUGAGACUCUUCUUUCAAAGGUCACAGAUGCUAGGAGGCCAGGUGCAUCUUCUGUUUUUGCGCCAGGGAUUCAACCAUCCUGUUAGAGGUAUCACCAAAAUGAUAUUUCGGAGAUAUUCCACAUUCCCUACACCUCUGCCAGCUCGGGGCAGGAGUCAGCCUGAAGUUGCAGCAGGUGUUCAGCACAAGCCUCUCUGCUUAGCACUUCCCAGCAUAGAGACCAGCUUUGCUUAUUUAUACUUUGGUGCCUUCCUCAAGGAUUUAUCUCCAGGCCACCUCAAGCCAUGGAAAGGGAACAUGUGCCCCCCAAGCAGGACAAAGCAGGGCAGUUAUCCCUCCACCCGUGGUACUCCUACAGCUGUUGUCCUCAUUCCCUCUACCUGCUUGCCCUCAGACCACAGUCCCUGUCUUCUCCACUCAACAGACAUUGUCACUCAGUCCAUAAAAUCCCUCUGUGGAUGUUAAAUACCCUUUGGUUUUGUUUCUCUAUUUCUCAGGCAAUGUUGUUGUGGAUGGAAAAUGUUCUUUUAUCUCCUCUCUGUCCUCUCUAGUUUGGUUUCUCUCCAUUUACUCCUUUUGGUGGCCAAGUUGCAAUCCAGGACAUAUUACCUCCCACUCUUCUCACCUUCCUGCACCUGUCUGCAAAAGCACCUCAUCUGCUUUGAACUGUUCCUGAAAUAAAGGUACUGGUUCUGCUAGCAAAGGAGAUGCCAAGUGAGACUUCUGAGCAGCUUAUGUCAGAAUGUGAUUUAAAUAAUGCCUGCCUUUCCUUGGCACCAGGUGAUGCUUCAUGGGACUGAGCUUCCGAAUGCAGAGCUGGGAAGGAUGAAAUAUAACACUAACCUUUAAGGCAUCUCCAGAAACUCUAAAUGUGUCACUGAUGAAAUGUCAAGAGCAGUGCUCUUAGGUACUUUAUCUAGGCUGUAUGAAGUGAAAAUCCAAGUGCUUUGCUACAUGUGCUAAUCGAUACGUAUCACUGAAUCAAAUCAUUAUGUAAUACGUAUGCCUUAUUCUCCCUCUUCUCCAUAUGCACACUUCUAGGUGUUAUCAUUUUAAAAUGAAUGACAUUUAUUUGAAAAUAUGAUGAGGGAUAUGUGCAUGACUGUAGUAUAUGGCUUUGGACUCAGUCAUCUGAGCGUGCAUGAGCAGAAAAAUGUCAAAGCUUCAUUUAAAAGUAUUCUGAGACAUUUCUCUUGUGAGAACCCCUGAAUUAGUCAAUGCAGGGACCAAGAGCCACAUCCAGGAUGUGCUUCAAGAGCCCCCCAGAAAGCCGAGAGCAGUGCUGAGAGCCAGAACUCCUUUGGCACCAAUCUCUGCAGGGCUCAGAAAGGUCAGGGAAGAGAUUGUAUGACAUGUUGCCACUCCCAGAAAAAUGAACUCAAUGGUCAGGAGGUGUCUGUGUUCCUGAAUGGCCGUAUCAAGCACGAGUGUAUGAUCAGAUUAACAGACCUUUUAUGGUCCUAACCAAGCAGAUUGCGUGUGUGUACACUGGUCGUCAGCAUGGGAAAUUCCUUUGGCUUUCAGGGGCUAUUUAAGUGCAUGAAGUUAAGCCAAGGUGUGAUUGCAGUCUUCACAGCGGUUUUGCAUGGCCUCCAUUCCAAAACUAAGUUAAUGCAAUCGGGUCCUUGAGCCCACAUUGAAAUCGGAUCUUCAACUGCUUCCACAUGUCCACACUCUUGUCAUACAACUUGUGCAACCGGAGAGGUAAAAGCACCUCUCACACAAGCAAAGUAAUGGCCAGAAUUUACAUGGGAGAGUGAAAGGAAUUGAAAAAUGUGUUAUCGUGAUAGCACCAUCUUCAAAUCAGUAGCAGCUGAGAAUGAAACAUUUUCUGAAAAGAUUUAGUGUUGGUUUUCCCAGAUAUUUGCAAAACUGUGUUUGAAUCAAACACCGGAUCCAAUGGCUAACCCAGAUUUCUGUGUAGCAGGCUGCUGUAAUUUCCAUCUCUUCCUUUGGUCUCAUUCUUGGACUUUGUACAUCCAUUACAUCCAACAGCCCAAAUUACAACUAGCACUGAUGGUACCUUUUCUGGGUAUAGCACUGAGGCUCCUAGGACCGAAAAAUGGCAAGGACAGAGCUGAAUUUAUACUGGUCAUGCAAGAUCUCAGUUCCCCAGGACAACUUACAAAACACCUGAAUUUCAGUGCACGUGCUCUGCAGACAUUUGAUAAUCCCUUAAAACACAUCAGUUCAGUACCAAGGACUGAGGGUAAGUAGCUUGUAUUGAGGAAUGGAUGGUAAAACUGGUACAGUGCUGCUGCGAACUUUGAAGCAAGGCAUCCAGCUGACAGGCCCAUGGAGAAAAGGUAAUUUAUUAAAAAGUUAACUAACACCUUGCCAUCAACAGAAAUUCAUAUGUUCAGCCUCUAACAACACCAGCUUCUCAGACUGGCUUCUUCUCCCAUAAGUACAGAGACAGCAAGAGUAAAUAGCUAUAUUACAUGGAAGAAAUGUGAUAGGCAACAGUGUUUGUAUAUAUAUACGUGUGAAUACGAUGCAUAUAUAAUAAAUGUAUACACUGCAUGUGUAAACAGCAGAUUUGGAAACACUUAAAUGCAACUAGCAUUCUAGUAGAGAGCUACCAUGUGUCAUUCAUGCAUGCGUUAAACUUCACAUACACACCUCGGCUGUUUACUGCACUGAUGCUAGGAUAAGUUCCCAGCCUGAUUGCUCGGCUCCACAGACCGGGACCAAAACUCUGCUCUGCUCCUGUAGAGUAAGAGAUGCCCAUGAGUCUGAAAUUUUUAAAACAGAAUUUGGAAUUGACAGUAGCAAAAAAUGGUGCUUCUAAAAUAUUUAUGGAAACAUUUUACUUCAAGCAUUUGGAGGCUGGUCAGGCUUCUGAAAAU